UAUAAGACCUGGGAUAACUUCGGGAAACCGGGAGCUAAUACCCGGAUAAUAUUUUGAACCUGCAUGGUUCAAAAGUGAAAGACGGUCUUGCUGUCACUUAUAGAUGGAUCCGCGCUGCAUUAGCUAGUUGGUAAGGUAACGGCUUACCAAGGCAACGAUGCAUAGCCGACCUGAGAGGGUGAUCGGCCACACUGGAACUGAGACACGGUCCAGACUCCUACGGGAGGCAGCAGUAGGGAAUCUUCCGCAAUGGGCGAAAGCCUGACGGAGCAACGCCGCGUGAGUGAUGAAGGUCUUCGGAUCGUAAAACUCUGUUAUUAGGGAAGAACAUAUGUGUAAGUAACUGUGCACAUCUUGACGGUACCUAAUCAGAAAGCCACGGCUAACUACGUGCCAGCAGCCGCGGUAAUACGUAGGUGGCAAGCGUUAUCCGGAAUUAUUGGGCGUAAAGCGCGCGUAGGCGGUUUUUUAAGUCUGAUGUGAAAGCCCACGGCUCAACCGUGGAGGGUCAUUGGAAACUGGAAAACUUGAGUGCAGAAGAGGAAAGUGGAAUUCCAUGUGUAGCGGUGAAAUGCGCAGAGAUAUGGAGGAACACCAGUGGCGAAGGCGACUUUCUGGUCUGUAACUGACGCUGAUGUGCGAAAGCGUGGGGAUCAAACAGGAUUAGAUACCUGGUAGUCCACGCCGUAAACGAUGAGUGCUAAGUGUUAGGGGGUUUCCGCCCCUUAGUGCUGCAGCUACGCAUUAAGCACUCCGCCU
This 759-nucleotide ribosomal RNA is filed under the name uncultured Staphylococcus sp. Its description in RNAcentral is "bacterial SSU rRNA". It matches the Rfam family "Bacterial small subunit ribosomal RNA", at positions 131 to 874 of the family's 1533-position model. Lineage: Bacteria; Bacillati; Bacillota; Bacilli; Caryophanales; Staphylococcaceae. The record is from RNAcentral.